This 254-nucleotide ribosomal RNA is filed under the name uncultured bacterium. RNAcentral's name for it is "partial 16S ribosomal RNA". It matches the Rfam family "Bacterial small subunit ribosomal RNA", at positions 524 to 776 of the family's 1533-position model. The record is from RNAcentral.
UACGUAGGGGCCUAGCGUUGUCCGGAUUUAUUGGGCGUAAAGAGCUCGUAGGCGGUUCGGCAAGUUGGAUGUGAAAUCUCCACGCUCAACGUGGAGGGGCCAUUCGAAACUGCCGUGACUCGAGUCCGGUAGGGGAGUGUGGAAUUCCCGGUGUAGCGGUGAAAUGCGCAGAUAUCGGGAGGAACACCAGUAGCGAAGGCGGCUCACUGGACCGGUACUGACGCUGAUGCGCGAAAGCGUGGGGAGCAAACGGG